CCGAGUUAGGGUGCUUCUCGCGCCCGACCUCCAACCCUUUGUCUACCUGACCAGAUGUUGCUUCGGCAGGCCCGCCGCCCCGCGAGGGGCAGCCACCGGGGGUCCUUUAUCGGCCCCGGGUCCGCGCCUGUCGAUGGCCCUUCUAUAAACUCUUGCUUAAAACGUGUCGUCUGAGUAAAACAAACAAAAUAAAAACA
Molecule: unclassified non-coding RNA, 197 nt
Filed under: uncultured Cyphellophora
Lineage: Eukaryota; Fungi; Ascomycota; Eurotiomycetes; Chaetothyriales; Herpotrichiellaceae
Description: sequence contains ITS1
Source: RNAcentral